This 85-nucleotide transfer RNA is filed under the name Desulfobaculum xiamenense. RNAcentral's name for it is "tRNA-Leu". It matches the Rfam family "tRNA". Rfam says of the family: Transfer RNA (tRNA) molecules are approximately 80 nucleotides in length. Their secondary structure includes four short double-helical elements and three loops (D, anti-codon, and T loops). The record is from RNAcentral. Lineage: Bacteria; Pseudomonadati; Thermodesulfobacteriota; Desulfovibrionia; Desulfovibrionales; Desulfovibrionaceae.
GCGGCGGUGGUGAAAUUGGUAGACACGCUGGUCUUAGGAGCCAGUACCGCAAGGUAUGCGGGUUCAAGUCCCGCCCGCCGCACCA